This 253-nucleotide ribosomal RNA is filed under the name uncultured microorganism. RNAcentral describes it as "partial 16S ribosomal RNA". It matches the Rfam family "Bacterial small subunit ribosomal RNA", at positions 524 to 776 of the family's 1533-position model. The record is from RNAcentral.
UACGUAGGGUGCGAGCGUUAAUCGGAUUUACUGGGCGUAAAGCGUGCGCAGGCGGCCCGUUAAGACAGGUGUGAAAUCCCUGGGCUCAACCUAGGAAUUGCGCUUGUGACUGGCGGGCUCGAGUACGGUAGAGGGGGGUGAAAUUCCUGGUGUAGCAGUGAAAUGCGUAGAGAUCAGGAGGAACACCGAUGGCGAAGGCAGCCCCCUGGGCCUGUACUGACGCUCAUGCACGAAAGCGUGGGGAGCAAACAGG